Strongylocentrotus purpuratus (purple sea urchin) is the source of this 1254-nucleotide long non-coding RNA. RefSeq lists it as uncharacterized. Lineage: Eukaryota; Metazoa; Echinodermata; Echinoidea; Camarodonta; Strongylocentrotidae. The transcript has 3 exons. The record is from RefSeq and is a predicted model, not a curated record.
UCAAAGGUCGACCUUACUACCUUGAGAACGAUAUCAGAUAGCGUUUCAGAACUGACUAAUAUUCCAAGUUUUUAAUCAUGAAUGAAUCAAGAGGUAAGGGCAAUGCGAAACCCCCACCCGGUGUGAUAAAAAAUGAACCAUCAGAGCAUACUGAGGUAAAGAUAAUCGUCCAAAAACCUGAUGGAAGGACUGAGUACAUGGACGUAGUCUUAGGUUGGUCGCAAGAUCUUUUGGCUGACGAGGUUGCUGCUAAAUUCAAUAUGGAUAAAAGACAGUUGUAUCUCCAGUUUGGCCUUAAACAGUUAGGGGGCACGGGAAUACUUUUAGAUGCUGGGAUAAGGAAGGACAGUAGAGUAAUUGUCAAUCUACGACUCCGUGGAGGCAGUCAGUAAAAGACAUAUGAUAAGUUUAUACGAUUAUCCGUUUCAUUAAAGGAGGAACGGAUCACUUUUUAAAGGCAUAUGUACAUAUGAAUAUCAUGAAUAUCAUUCGGUAUAUUUGAUCAUAAUGAGGUAAAUACACACCAUCCAUUCAAUGCACAAGUCACAUUAACACCUUUUAGAUGUUGGCCAAUCAUAGUUAUCUUCUUAAUCAAUAUUGUGAAUUCGAAUGCCUGAUAUUACAUAGAUAUUUCUUUCCACAUUAUGUUUUAAUCAUUCAAAGCAAAUCUUGUUAUAGAUCAACUGUUAAACGUGUUAAUUGUAUUUAAUGGACAAAGAUUUUGUUCAAAAACUUUUUUGUUGUUGGUAUACACAUAUUACCAGAAAAUGUUGUGACGACCUUGAAAAACAAUAUCGUCAUUACAAUUAGUAUUUGUUGUCUUUUGUACGUCGUGUGUAUUUAAUAAUCAUGUGGGUGCCGGUUAUCAUGGGCUUACUUGAGGACUUCGAAAGAGGGAAGGGAGUGUCAUAUAUGAAUACAUGAACAUGGACCAAUCGAAUAUGAAGUCGUUGGUCCCACCCCAACCAUCAAUCCCCCCACAGGCAAACCUGCCCACAAAUUGUGUAUAGAAAAAACCACUUCAGCAAGAAAAACUUGGAUGUUGGAUCCAACCUUUUCUUUAAAUGUUCAUUACUGAUUUAGAUGUCAUAAAUAGAACAUUUUGUUUUAAUUUUGUCAAUCUGCAUAGAUAUAAAUGCCAGAAUUAUUUAAUUGUUUUCCAUUCAAAUAUUUAUUUGUGAUGCUAUUGAAUAGUUAUAUUAAUAAUUCGAGCUGUAAUAAACAUUGAGACAAUUAAAUAAUGUAUAACUGUGA